Long non-coding RNA from Octopus sinensis (East Asian common octopus), 168 nucleotides. RefSeq lists it as uncharacterized. The record is from RefSeq and is a predicted model, not a curated record. The transcript has 3 exons. NCBI's taxonomy places the organism in Eukaryota, Metazoa, Mollusca, Cephalopoda, Octopoda, Octopodidae.
GGUCGUUUUUCUUCUAGCACUGACUUGAAUGACUGGUUGAAUGACCAAAUCCAAGCUUCUCUGCUAGUUCCUCAACAGUUAUGAAUGGAAUUUUGUUCCACCAGGGAUUGCAGGACAUCCUCUUUGAGCUCAACAGAUCUUCCAGUAUAAGGGCCACUUUCCAGAGAU